RNAcentral lists this non-coding RNA (75 nucleotides) under Pasteurella bettyae CCUG 2042. Its description in RNAcentral is "Aggregatibacter sRNA 20". It matches the Rfam family "Aggregatibacter sRNA 20". From Rfam's summary of the family: Validated by RT-PCR and Northern blot. The record is from Rfam by way of RNAcentral. Lineage: Bacteria; Pseudomonadati; Pseudomonadota; Gammaproteobacteria; Pasteurellales; Pasteurellaceae.
AAAAUAAGUGCUAUAGCAAUAGCCUAAUAUUUUGCUUUCCGAGUAGUGCCUUUCCUAAGGCACUUUUUUUUGUCU